Molecule: ribosomal RNA, 383 nt
Filed under: uncultured eukaryote
Lineage: Eukaryota
Description: partial 18S ribosomal RNA
Rfam family: Eukaryotic small subunit ribosomal RNA
Source: RNAcentral
CAAUAGCGUAUAUUAAAGUUGUUGCGGUUAAAAAGCUCGUAGUUGGAUCUCGGCAGGCAGGGGGUGGUUCGCUCUUAGCGCUACUGCCCCAUUUGCCUGUGUGAUUGGCGGAGGUUUCGGGGUGCUCUUCGUUGAGUGACCCGGGGCGCCGUCAGGUUUACUUUGGAAAAAUUAGAGUGCUCAAAGCAGGCUUUUCACGCUUGAAUAUUCGUGCAUGGAAUAAUGGAAUAGGAACUCGUUUCUAUUUUGUUGGUUUUCGGAAAUCGAGUUAAUGAUUAAUAGGGACAAUUGGGGGCAUUAGUAUUCAGACGACAGAGGUGAAAUUCUUGGACCGUCUGAAGACUAACUACUGCGAAAGCAUUUGCCAAGAGUGUUUUCAUUAA